Molecule: long non-coding RNA, 442 nt
Organism: Symphalangus syndactylus (siamang)
Lineage: Eukaryota; Metazoa; Chordata; Mammalia; Primates; Hylobatidae
Source: RefSeq, a predicted model, not a curated record
UGUGACAACAACAACAACAACGUCUCCAGACAUUGCCGAAUGUCCUCUGGCAGCAAAAUCACGCCACGUGAAGAGAAGCCUCAGGAGGUGUGUUCCUGCUAAUUCCACACUCAGCUCAAGUAGCCAGCAGAAACAUCUGCCUAUAACCCCUUCCACCCCAGCCUGAAGAACAGCUGGAACCAUAUCCUGUCACACCGUUUGAAGGAGUCCCCAGCCCUGGGUAACCUCACUCCCUGCUCCAAAACCUCCUUUUCCUCACCCCAAUCCAUGCUGGGAAUCAGAUUUGCACCCAGGAAGCUGGAGUUGGACAGAGAGAUGCUGGCCUCUGUGUUGACCGUUGCUUGACCAGGGAUCACAUGAGCAAAAGCAUCAGGCGAAGCCAGUUUGAAGCGGGAACCGAGCUCACUUCUGGAGAACAGGAUGAGAAGAUAUAGCUCCUGAG